UGGGGAAUAUUGGACAAUGGGCGAAAGCCUGAUCCAGCCAUGCCGCGUGUGUGAAGAAGGCCUUUUGGUUGUAAAGCACUUUAAGCGAGGAGGAGGCUACUAGUACUAAUACUACUGGAUAGUGGACGUUACUCGCAGAAUAAGCACCGGCUAACUCUGUGCCAGCAGCCGCGGUAAUACAGAGGGUGCGAGCGUUAAUCGGAUUUACUGGGCGUAAAGCGUGCGUAGGCGGCUGAUUAAGUCGGAUGUGAAAUCCCUGAGCUUAACUUAGGAAUUGCAUUCGAUACUGGUCAGCUAGAGUAUGGGAGAGGAUGGUAGAAUUCCAGGUGUAGCGGUGAAAUGCGUAGAGAUCUGGAGGAAUACCGAUGGCGAAGGCAGCCAUCUGGCCUAAUACUGACGCUGAGGCACGAAAGCAUGGGGAGCAAACAGG
Molecule: ribosomal RNA, 430 nt
Filed under: Pseudomonadota bacterium
Lineage: Bacteria; Pseudomonadati; Pseudomonadota
Description: Proteobacteria bacterium partial 16S ribosomal RNA
Rfam family: Bacterial small subunit ribosomal RNA
Source: RNAcentral